UUUUUAAACAAAAGGGCUAUUUUGUAGUUAGAAAAAAAUUUGCUUUGAAAGUUGAAGCCCUGGAAAUUUCAUAACAUGACAUGACAUGCCAUUUCCAACAGCAGACAGGUGGCAGGACCAGUCCAAGAACAUUCAGGUCUUAAUUUCUAGUCCAUUAUUCUUUGUACAAACAAUCUGAAUUCAUAUACUAAUCAAUCAAUGCAGGAAAGUUUCUCCCAGCCCAACAUGCUUUUACCAUCUCAUCCCUUGGUGAGUGCUGGCUUGCUGGUGAACCUAUCAUGGUGCUUAUAAAACAAGAGAGCCCAUCCACUUGAACAUAAUAUCCUAAUUAAAAGUAAAAAGGUCAAUCCUCACUUUUGAAUAUUUUUGAAUUUUUUAUUAACAUGUCAGCUUCUAAGAGGAGGAUUUCAGGUUUUCCCAUAGACACAUUCUAUUUCUCUUCGGCUAACUCUCUCACCUCCUUCAAAUCUGUGUUCAAAGAUGAACUUCUCAUUAAGACCUUUCGUGACCACUUCAUUUUACACUAAGAAGGACCACCCACCAUCAGCCCCCUACCCUGCCCUAGACAUUACCAACACCUUUAUCCUGCUCUUCUUUUUGGGUUAUAUCUAUCAACUGAUAACACAUUAUACUUAUUAAGUGCAUGGUUUACUGUAGGUUUUCCUCCUCUGAAUUGAGAGAUCUUUGCCUAAUUUGGUGACCAAUGUGUCCCAAGAGCCAAAAGCAACAGCUAACUCUCAGAAGGUACUCAACAGUUUUCUGUUGGGGGAAAAAAAAAAUCCAUGUAGGCCAUAUUAAGAAUGCCUAUUUAAUGCAUGUAGAUGCAUAGUAGCAUAAUGCUUUUAAUAACAUAAUUCAAAAUACACAGACACAAGACCAUGUAUUUAAUGAACUUACAACAGCACCUGACAUAUGAUAAAUACUCAAUGAAUUUAGUACUAAUCUUCCUUGCUGUUAGCACUCAUGAUUACCACUACAGACUUCUCAACCUUUCCCCAGUUACACCAAACUUUUGUGGGAAAAGAUAAUCUUAACAUAUUAAGAGAAUGGUAGAGUUCUUGAAGCUUGAUAGUGUCACUAGGAGGUUAAGAGGAGGUUAUGGUAACAUAUAUAGAAAAGGGCAAACACUUCUCUUUUAUUAUCUUGCCUUUUACUUCUAAAGUUAUGGAAGGUAGGAUGAAGAUGACCUGGCAAAGCCACUUGUUUCUAAGAGAAAGGAAUAAAGCAGUAUUUGGUCUACAGAUGUUUCAUGUGGCAUAUUCCUCAGAACAUAACUUUUGCAACGUAAAACAAUAGUGUUAGUUAAAAAGGAUUCUGUAAUCAAACCCAUGGAGACAAUGCAUGAUAUAAAUAGGAUUAAACAUUUUAUUUAAUGCAGAACGACGUACAGAGCUCCUCUA
Molecule: long non-coding RNA, 1400 nt
Filed under: Macaca fascicularis (crab-eating macaque)
Lineage: Eukaryota; Metazoa; Chordata; Mammalia; Primates; Cercopithecidae
Description: lncRNA (ENSMFAG00000063981.1)
Source: RNAcentral